This 221-nucleotide unclassified non-coding RNA is filed under the name uncultured bacterium. RNAcentral's name for it is "contains 16S-23S intergenic spacer region". It matches the Rfam family "Bacterial small subunit ribosomal RNA", at positions 976 to 1199 of the family's 1533-position model. The record is from RNAcentral.
UGGGCUUGACAUGUCCGUGACCGCCGUGGAAACACGGCUUCCCUUCGGGGCACCUUCACAGGUGGUGCAUGGCUGUCGUCAGCUCGUGUCGUGAGAUGUUGGGUUAAGUCCCGCAACGAGCGCAACCCUCGUCCCUAGUUACCAGCGGGUUAUGCCGGGCACUCUAGGGAGACUGCCGGUGUCAAACCGGAGGAAGGUGGGGAUGACGUCGAAUACGUAAC